GGUCAUGAGUGUCAGCGUCAAGGCCCCGGCCUGCUGGCCGGCAACCCUCGUGCGUCCGCGGUGGGGUGCCUCCGGGUGAGGACCAGGCCGCCGGCGUCCGCCGGAGAGGCAAGCGCGGACC
Molecule: non-coding RNA, 121 nt
Filed under: Micromonospora maris AB-18-032
Lineage: Bacteria; Bacillati; Actinomycetota; Actinomycetes; Micromonosporales; Micromonosporaceae
Also listed under: 1 other name
Description: Verrucosispora maris AB-18-032 SAM (S-adenosyl methionine) riboswitch aptamer
Rfam family: SAM (S-adenosyl methionine) riboswitch aptamer
About the family: SAM-IV is a mRNA element that regulates gene expression via direct sensing of S-adenosylmethionine (SAM or AdoMet). SAM-IV riboswitches share conserved nucleotide positions with the previously described SAM-I riboswitches sequence analysis and molecular recognition experiments suggest that SAM-I and SAM-IV riboswitches share similar ligand binding sites, but have different scaffolds.
Source: Rfam by way of RNAcentral